GAUGAACGCUAGCGAUAGGCUUAACACAUGCAAGUCGAGGGGCAGCAUGGUCUUAGCUUGCUAAGGCUGAUGGCGACCGGCGCACGGGUGCGUAACGCGUAUGCAACUUGCCUCACAGAGGGGGAUAACCCGUCGAAAGACGGACUAAUACCGCGUACACUCUAUGUUGGGCAUCCAAUGUAGAGGAAAUGAAAUUCGCUGUGAGAUAGGCAUGCGUCCCAUUAGCUAGUUGGUGAGGUAACGGCUCACCAAGGCGACGAUGGGUAGGGGAACUGAGAGGUUGAACCCCCGCACGGGUACUGGGACACGGACCAGACUCCUACGGGAGGCAGCAGUGAGGAAUAUUGGUCAAUGGGCGAGAGCCUGAACCAGCCAAGUCGCGUGAAGGAUGACUGUCUUAUGGAUUGUAAACUUCUUUUAUGCGGGAAUAACAAGAGUCACGUGUGGCUCCCUGCAUGUACCGUAUGAAUAAGCAUCGGCUAACUCCGUG
Molecule: ribosomal RNA, 490 nt
Filed under: uncultured bacterium
Lineage: Bacteria
Description: partial 16S ribosomal RNA
Rfam family: Bacterial small subunit ribosomal RNA
Source: RNAcentral